Molecule: ribosomal RNA, 41 nt
Filed under: Palythoa aff. mutuki MM-2016
Lineage: Eukaryota; Metazoa; Cnidaria; Anthozoa; Zoantharia; Sphenopidae
Description: partial 18S ribosomal RNA
Source: RNAcentral
GUAACAAGGUUUCCGUACGUGAACCUGCGGAAGGAUCAUUA